AACGAACGCUGGCGGCAGGCCUAACACAUGCAAGUCGAGCGAACCCUUCGGGGUUAGCGGCGGACGGGUUAGUAACGCGUGGGAAUAUACCCUUUGGUACGGAAUAGCCUCGGGAAACUGAGAGUAAUACCGUAUGUGCCCUUCGGGGGAAAGAUUUAUCGCCAAAGGAUUAGCCCGCGUUGGAUUAGGUAGUUGGUGGGGUAAUGGCCUACCAAGCCUACGAUCCAUAGCUGGUUUGAGAGGAUGAUCAGCAACACUGGGACUGAGACACGGCCCAGACUCCUACGGGAGGCAGCAGUGGGGAAUCUUAGACAAUGGGCGCAAGCCUGAUCCAGCCAUGCCGCGUGAGUGAAGAAGGCCUCGGUUGUAAGACUCUUCGGUCCGGGACGGAAAGUACGC
RNAcentral lists this ribosomal RNA (399 nucleotides) under uncultured bacterium. RNAcentral's name for it is "bacterial SSU rRNA". It matches the Rfam family "Bacterial small subunit ribosomal RNA", at positions 29 to 457 of the family's 1533-position model. The record is from RNAcentral.